GCGCACGCGCGGGCGGAGCCGGGCCCGCGAGCCCUCGGAAGAGGCGGGCGCGAGUCCCGUUACCCACAGGAACAACGCCCGCGGCAGCCGCAGCGCCAGCAGAGCCUCCUUAAUGGCUGGGUAAAGCUCACGCCCCUUGCUGAAAUCAGCUA
Molecule: non-coding RNA, 152 nt
Organism: Cyanistes caeruleus (blue tit)
Lineage: Eukaryota; Metazoa; Chordata; Aves; Passeriformes; Paridae
Source: RefSeq, a predicted model, not a curated record